This 301-nucleotide ribosomal RNA is filed under the name uncultured bacterium. RNAcentral's name for it is "partial 16S ribosomal RNA". It matches the Rfam family "Bacterial small subunit ribosomal RNA", at positions 509 to 807 of the family's 1533-position model. The record is from RNAcentral.
CAGUAGCCGCGGUAAUACGUAGGGUGCGAGCGUUAAUCGGAAUUACUGGGCGUAAAGCGUGCGCAGGCGGUUGUGCAAGACAGAUGUGAAAUCCCCGAGCUUAACUUGGGAACUGCAUUUGUGACUGCACGGCUAGAGUGUGUCAGAGGGGGGUAGAAUUCCACGUGUAGCAGUGAAAUGCGUAGAUAUGUGGAGGAAUACCGAUGGCGGAGGCAGCCCCCUGGGAUAACACUGACGCUCAUGCACGAAAGCGUGGGGAGCAAGCAGGAUUAGAUACCCCAGUAGUCCCUGUCUCUUAUAC